Molecule: ribosomal RNA, 484 nt
Filed under: uncultured bacterium
Lineage: Bacteria
Description: partial 16S ribosomal RNA
Rfam family: Bacterial small subunit ribosomal RNA
Source: RNAcentral
AGUGAACGCUGGCGGCGUGCUUAACACAUGCAAGUCGAACGAGAACGGAUUAUAGCUUGCUAUAAUUGUCAGCUAAGUGGCGCACGGGUGAGUAAUGUAUAGGUAAUAUGCCUCUUACUAAGGGAUAACAAAUGGAAACGUUUGCUAAUACCUUAUACUCCUUGUUAACAGAAGUUAAUAAGGGAAAGAUUUAUUGGUAAGAGAUUAGCCUGUAUUGUAUCAGUUAGUUGGUGGGGUAAUGGCUUACCAAGACUAUGACACAUAACUGGUUUGAGAGGAUGAUCAAUCACACUGGAACUGAGACACGGUCCAGACUCCUACGGGAGGCAGCAGUGGGGAAUAUUGCACAAUGGACGAAAGUCUGAUGCAGCAACGCCGCGUGGAGGAUGACACAUUUCGGUGCGUAAACUCCUUUUAUAUGAGAAGAUAAUGACGGUAUUAUAUGAAUAAGCACCUGCUAACUCCGUGCCAGCCGCCGCCGUAA